Molecule: long non-coding RNA, 4919 nt
Organism: Bombus terrestris (buff-tailed bumblebee)
Lineage: Eukaryota; Metazoa; Arthropoda; Insecta; Hymenoptera; Apidae
Exons: 5
Source: RefSeq, a predicted model, not a curated record
UCCACAUGCUACGUACGGAUAAAGUAGCUGAAUUUUAAAAUGGAUUAAUACGCGCCAGUUAAACGGGGACAAGUGUUUCGCGGCACGUUGAACCAACUAAUACGUGCAACCUGGUUCGGUAGAUAGACACCAACUUUUCAUACGAAAAUUGCGACAAUGUUCUAGUGGCUGCUCGACCCUGUUACUUGUAUCAUCGACUCGACAACAUUUCCUCACGGAAAUAUCCUAAGAUCAGAGUGCGCGAUAAUUAGGCAAUUACGCGCUUCUAUAGCGAUUGAACAAAAUUUCGAUCGUGCUACGUAUACAAGUAGCAUUCGUUGCUACCUGUGUAUACAAAGUUAUCGGUAUUCUUCGUACGGCUUUUAAAUAACGGUGUUCGAUCGAACCGUUGAUAAAAUCAUAGGCGAAUUUGAGGAGGAUAGGAAUUAUAAAGGAAACAUUAAUAUAUAUACGUUAAAAGUUAUUCGAGUGUCGAAAGAUGCCGUUUUAAGAAUAAAAAGCGAGAGAAAGAAAGGACGGAACGGAAGCAAUCGCGUUAAAAAAUUAAAGAUCAAUUUUACAACUAUCGAAGGAAAAAGAAGGUGACACGUGGCUGGUCGGUGGAGGAAUAAAAUCGCGAGAAGCCAAACCGGAAGCCGUAGGUUGACGGCUCUAUGUCUUCGUCGGCCGCGACAUCUUGUCCUCGCAGACCACGUUCCUGUAAAAAGUCCACGAGAUAGAACGAAGCGGAUGGCUGUCUGCCGGAUAUCAAACGAACGAACGAAUCGGACGAGAAGGUUGAAACAAGCUAGACGAAACUCAGGUGCGGCGGACGCGUUUCUUUCGAAGAAGAAAGGAAGAGAAGAAGAAAAGGAGAAAAUCGUUUACCCCGCUUAACACGCUCUGUUACAUCGUUACAUCCGCUAUACGCGUAUGCUACACGCUGAAACUUAAAACGAUAUUACUGGACAACAGGGGCCAUUUCGAUUUUUCCACUCUCGCGGACCACACCCACCGCUAUUAUCAGCACUCGCGAAUUCUUGUUGCGUUCUGAAAUGGUGGUAAGUUUGGGCAGAGGGGCUUGAGAAUCACGGCUCGAAUAUCGAUGCGAAUAUCAUCGCGAUGCAAUCGGAUAUACGCAGCUAGGUUGCGGUAUGUACGUACACAGAAACGCGUAAUGCAACGCGUUUCCAUAUCCAAGCUCUGCCACACGGUGAUACAGCAAUGGGAAGCGAUAUACGAAUAUCAGCCAUGCGUCAAACGUAUAAAUCCUCGCCGCCCCCGUUUUCCACCGUUAAUAUUUUACGAAUCGUAAAACCUAGAACAGCCUCGUCGUAUACGUACUUGAAAACGUCCGUUAUUUGCGCUCUUUCCUCUCUAAAAAUGUAUAUUUCGUUGCUUGAAAUUGUUUUAUCGCCAAAUGACGCAUUUGCGAUGAGAAUUUGUCGAUCAAACCCAAUCGCGGUUUAGCUUUUCUUAAUCUUUUUCGUCGAACGUCCGAUAGUGUUACAAUCGAGCAUCCGUCGAAGAUAUCGGUUUUUCUACGGAAGACCGAUUAGCGCACAAACUCGUCUAUUAAGGUCGACGCGUAGCCGAUUGCUAAAGUUACAACCGGCAUCACUUACGACACGUAACAUCGCAUAUUUUUUCUUCUUUCCUCCUUGAUUAUAUAUCGUCGCUACGUCUAUUACUUCUUUAUUUUCUCUCGUUUCCGCGUUCUUUUUUUCUCAUUCUCGUGUUUGCCGUGGGCACGAUAAUAUAUCAUAUUAACAAAUGUAUUUAAUCGAUUGUAAAGAUCGCCCAAUGACUUUCCGCCACUGAAUUUGUCAAUCGCAUGUUCUACGAUAUCUCGAUUAUGUUGCGGCAUCUGUGUGGGAUUGGACAGAGUAUAGCUGUACGCGCGUACAUACAACGCGUACAAAUAUGAUUCAAUAUCCGGAAGUGCGUAAACGAUGAUUUAUGAUUUGUGAUUGAUUUAUGAUUUAUGAUUACGAAUAUAAAAUUACGCGAAGAAAGACAUAGAGAUCGUGUUUUGUGACGUAUUACGUUUUAGAAAACUUGAUUGAUACGAUAAACCUGGUAUACGAUAUCGGCAAAUUCGACGAACAAUUUUAUCGAGGUAUUUGUCGAAAUAAGUUGUUCGUAGUCUGGUUACGUUGCAUCGCGAUCAGCGUGGGUACUUUAGCGAGUAGCGAAUAGUAGCUAUUCGUUCGAGAGGCGGCGUAUCAAAGGGUUGGCCAUGUGUACGAGCAAUAAGUUUAUAACCGUUUAGAAGCUGUUUGCGAGUUGUUGGAGAACCGCGGUGUGGACACGACGCUGAUCCGCUGUUUCUGCUCGUGAGCAGCUCGCGAAUAGUUGUAGUCGGUGUGGACAAAGCGUUACGUAUCUUGCAAUUAGUUAAAAUGUGUGUUCAAUGCGACGAUGCAAAACGUUCAUGAUUUUGUUAUUACGUGAGACGAAUAGCGAAUGACAAGCACCGACUAAACGCCGAUUCAGACUAUCCUAUCGCGUACGAAAAAUAGCGAAAGUUUCUUCUCCUUUGUUCGUCUCACAGACCAUUCGCUCGUGAGAAAAACGUUAAAAAGUAAUUAAAGUAAAGUAAACGAUGAAAAUUCGAACAACAACAACAACGAAAGUGUCUUCUUAGUGUUGAUUCGGGAUAUCGCUGUACAUAUAUUUCUUUCAUCGACGAAACAGGCAACGACGUAGCGUGCUACUCAUUUCGUGCGAAUUUCGUAACAUUCGGUUCACGUAAUACGUAUCGUAGAACGCGUGUGUGCGUGUCAGACAAGAUAUCCUACGUUAUUAGACGAACCUUUAAUGACGCCACGCUUCCACGCGCUGUUAUUAUAUCGUCGGACCGAACUAGCCGACAUUUUGGUCAGUGAUGUAUCGUUGUGAAACCGGAAUCCGGGGGAUACGCGAAUUAUCGUCGGGUUGCACGUUCGCUGGAAAAUUUUUCGCCGUAAUGGACAAUCGAGGUAUUUGUCGAACCAUUUGUAUUACACCGUAAACCGUGUAAUAAUCGCUCGAGUUCAAAGAUAUGGACGUUCUUGGAGUUUGAUCUCUUUCGAGGAUAAUUUCGCGACACGUUCGAUCGAUAGCGAAACAUUGCUGCGCGCGGCAGCGUAAACGAACGAGCAUAGGAGAUGGUCGAAGAAAUUUUUGCAUAGAUGCAGAUAUUUGUAAAUCCGACAGAUCUUUAGCACGGUAUUUUCCUUUUGGUUUCGCUACUCGAUACUUUUAGCAGAAGCAACAAGGACAAGAAUUUCAAGGAUAUUUUUGCCAAGCCAAAGUAAGAGAAAAAUGAAAAAUAUAUAAAUUGCGUGGGAGAUUUCGUUUAUUAGGCAAAAUUUUCCCUGUGCAAACAAACAUACUUGCAACUUAGGCGAUGUAGGACACGGUAAUUGUCAGACUUAAAGAAGCAUGUCCGGCAGUUUAGCUCGUACAAAUUGUAGACAAAAAGACUAUGACAUUCGCUUUCAUAAAUGGUGCGGAACUUUGUAUAUACGCGUAUACUCGCGUAUACUCGCGUAUACCCGCCUAUGAUAUGCUCGUUACAUAGGACCGAGGCCAGUAAGUACUUUAGGCGAUUUGACAAACUGUUUUAUCUAGUGAUUCUAUUCGUGGAUUCGACGCUAGCGAACACGAACGUGCACGAUCGGCGAUAAAGGAUAUAAAGUGGAUUCGAACGAUAGCCUUCGAGCGAACGGUACGAAACUCGAUGUUAUUAAGGCGUGCAACAGCUUGCGUUGAGCGUAAUUUUCUUUAAACAUCCAUGAUUCGAAAACUAAAGUAUACGUAGAACGGUGUAUGUUCGUAAGACGUUAUCUUCGUUUCUAGACAUUUAUCGGCCUGUGCGAGUAUCCGCUCCCCUGAUCCCUGGUUACUCUAUGUCAUUCCGUAUAAUAGCAUGCGCUUUACAUAUCGUUGGUAAAGCAAUGAUAAAAAGUAGAGAGACGAAGAUAAAAUAAUUUAAACCAUACCGUUAAAUUCAUAAUGAAACUAUAGAUCGAGUAACGUAAUCUGUCUUUUAUCGCGUAAAGCAACUGUUUUCUUGAUGUAAAAAACUGGCUCUCUCUCUCUCUCUCUCUGUAGUCAGUUUAAAAGCGAAGAAAACGGCUGAAUGCAAAUUUCUUGUCAACGACAAACGUUCCGAGAGCCACAAAUCUAAAGUAAAGCAGAUUUUAGGACUUAGGAGAGUAUCGAGGAUUCUGGCGAAUUGCGACAAAAACGUAUUUGUCCGAUAAACAGCUGGGAAUUAAAAGCGAUUUCAAUUGGGAAUACACCUUGAAUCCGCCGUGAACUCCUUCGAAGACCGUGAUUACUAUGCCGCGCGUGACAUUGUCGCGUAUGACCGCAACCAAUCGCCAUUGGUCGGCCUCGACGUUAAAAAGGGGCCACCUUAUGAUCGCGAUGAGUCGAUGGUUGCUUCGUCGAGUCUCCUGUCUUUCUGCUCUCUAUGCGACACACGCGCCAGUGAAAAUAACGAUCGGUCGCGCAAUCGUCGAAGAAAAUAUCGUAAUCUGAUCGUUCAUGGAACAAAGUUAAAGCGGAGUACGAUAGUUGCUUCGAUUUAUCGAGGACAGGAUAUAUCGUCGCAAAAUCUUUCGAGUUAGAGUUACCUGUCUAUCUUUUUACUGUCUGUCUGUUAAAUUUUGUUACGCGCUCUAAACUUUCAUACAAACAUCACGACGAAAGGAAAUUACGCGAUCCUAACUAUCCACUUGCAACUUUUCACCUACAAGUGUCAUCUUUUGCUUGCUCUACGUCAUAAGCAAAUUGAUAGUUUACAAUUGUUAAAGCACUUUAGUGGCUAAUUUAUUAAUUACAAUAGCGAGAGUAUAAGGAGACGCGAAAUUGUUUUUUAUUUACGCAGAGCGCUCGAUUUCAAUGCAUAAAUGCGAAUUACUGGCAAACUAUCUGCUGUAUAAUAAUAA